This is a long non-coding RNA of Solanum pennellii, 1125 nucleotides long. RefSeq lists it as uncharacterized. The record is from RefSeq and is a predicted model, not a curated record. Lineage: Eukaryota; Viridiplantae; Streptophyta; Magnoliopsida; Solanales; Solanaceae. The transcript is spliced from 2 exons.
ACAUUUUUACAAUGUCAAAAGAUUCCCUAACUUCUCUCAACGGCGACACACGAUUCCCAUCCCCAAACAACAUCAAAAUACACAAAAGCAUCAGUUCACGCGCCUCAUUCUAGACAAGUUCACGGAAUGGUGAUCCAUGGAGUUAACAACUUUUUCUGCAUCCCUCUCUUUCUCCUGCUUUUUUCCGUACAGCAGCGCCGUUCGGUCGUGCGUCUCUGCAACUCGUCCUUGCUCGCGUGGAUGGACGCCAUGUCGAGUGCAAGGACGAGCGAGUCGAUCCAAGUCAUCCUUUUUCUCUACCCAUCCAGAUUUUGGGGGAUUAUGGUUGAAAUCGACCAAGAACAGCUGCCCCGUCCUUAAGGGGAAAAUUUUCAAAUUUUGGACUCGAAGUGAAUGUCCAAUUUUGCGCCAAACUUCUUCAAAAAUUCACCCGCCUUCCCUAAUCCGAUCGUUUUUUUUCUUUUUUUCUUUCUUUUCUAUAAAUAUCCUUUUUUCUCUUGUUUGGGUUAGAGAUUUAGGUGAAAAGGGUCAGAGUUUCUUUUCUUUGAAUUGGAAAAUUGUAGUUUGAGAUUUCUUUCAAAAUUUUAGUGAAGGCAGAAAGAGAAUUUGAGCAAAAUACAUUAGUACACAGUAAAUACACUUCAAGGAAAAGCAGGGGAAAUGCUUGUAUUGUUAAUGUUUCGGUUUGAAAAUUUUUUCUUGGCUACUGUUCGGUCCCGAGUUCUUGUGGUGAAAGUUAUUGUGUGUUCUGCUCGUCGUUCCUGCUCGCUGCUCCGAAAGAGCUGAAUUUUGUCUGAGUUCAUCAUGAACUCAAUUUCCUAUAUUCGAGUCGACCCCGGAAAAAGGCGUACAUGUCCUAAAGCCGGAAGGAUUCAAAAUUCCAAGAAGUUGAAGAUUUUGGGCUAAGAAGUCCAAAUUUAUUUUGUAAGUCUUGUAUUAUUGUUCUUUUGGGCCUAUGUCUUUGUAGCUUUUUAUUUAUUUUGUAUUAUAUUUGUUAGAACAUUAAAACAGGUAUCAUUGAAGCAGACCCGAAGCCCAAAAAUGAAAUGGGUCUGAAUACUAGUCUAGGUGGACAUAAAUCGGAUUUGGACCCAACUCUCUCUCUAUCUCCUUUCAUUUUUCGUG